This 525-nucleotide ribosomal RNA is filed under the name Lecanicillium fusisporum. RNAcentral's name for it is "partial large subunit ribosomal RNA". It matches the Rfam family "Eukaryotic large subunit ribosomal RNA", at positions 100 to 648 of the family's 3401-position model. The record is from RNAcentral. Lineage: Eukaryota; Fungi; Ascomycota; Sordariomycetes; Hypocreales; Cordycipitaceae.
GGCAACAGCUCAAAUUUGAAAUCUGGUCCCCAGGGCCCGAGUUGUAAUUUGUAGAGGAUGCUUUUGGCAAGGUGCCUUCCGAGUUCCCUGGAACGGGACGCCAUAGAGGGUGAGAGCCCCGUCUGGUCGGAUACCGCGCCUCUGUAAAGCUCCUUCGACGAGUCGAGUAGUUUGGGAAUGCUGCUCAAAAUGGGAGGUAUAUGUCUUCUAAAGCUAAAUAUUGGCCAGAGACCGAUAGCGCACAAGUAGAGUGAUCGAAAGAUGAAAAGCACUUUGAAAAGAGGGUUAAAAAGUACGUGAAAUUGUUGAAAGGGAAGCGCCUAUGACCAGACUUGGGCCCGGUGAAUCAUCCAGCGUUCUCGCUGGUGCACUUUGCCGGGCACAGGCCAGCAUCAGUUUGGCGCGGGGGAUAAAGGCUUUGGGAAUGUGGCUCCCUCGGGAGUGUUAUAGCCCAUUGUGCAAUACCCUGCGCCGGACUGAGGUACGCGCAUUUGCAAGGAUGCUGGCGUAAUGGUCAUCAGCGAC